UAUUUCUAUGUAAUACCAUAUGAUCAAUGUAUUGAUGAUGUUCAUUAUUUGAGUUAUGUAAUAGGUACAAUAAAGGUUAACUCUAAGCUUUCAUCAGACGGAAGUUAUCUAGAUAAGAGAGAGGUAAAAGUACUCAACGGACACAGUGAUAAAUAAUGUACAGUUGAAGUAAGUUCUGCGAAAAGUGACUAUACUAUCUGGUUUCGAUUCUUGCUUGAAAUAAUUUCAUUUCAAUCAUUUUGACAGACAUAUGUAAAAGGUGCAAAACAUCACAACUAUGUUCAUCCAGGUCAAGCACAUUCCAGUUUCAAUUUACAAUAAAUUAUGUUCGUUUAAGGUUGUUUAAAGAGUAACACGCGAAUGAAGAUAAGCUGAAACGAGCAGAACACAAGCAGCAAAUGAUUCAGUCUGUAACUUAGAGUUGACUACAACGUGCGGUCAUCCAGGCUCAUAUAAUAAUAAUGUAUUGUGAGACACACUUUGAGAGCGGUUUUGAAGCUAAUAAAGAAAUCUUAAUGUGUGUGCGCGCGCACCAUUCUCCCCCCCUCUCUUAAACAAUAUCAUACACAUCCCUC
Octopus bimaculoides (California two-spot octopus) is the source of this 575-nucleotide long non-coding RNA. Lineage: Eukaryota; Metazoa; Mollusca; Cephalopoda; Octopoda; Octopodidae. The record is from RefSeq and is a predicted model, not a curated record.